This 870-nucleotide ribosomal RNA is filed under the name Triticum aestivum (bread wheat). RNAcentral describes it as "partial small subunit ribosomal RNA". Lineage: Eukaryota; Viridiplantae; Streptophyta; Magnoliopsida; Poales; Poaceae. The record is from RNAcentral.
AUGAACGCGCGUCAGACUGCGCAGGUGAAUCAGGUCGUCGGCGCCGUCGGGAUGCCGCCGCCGCAAAGCCAGACGCAGGACGCGUGGGUCGAUUCCCAGUUCGUGAUGAUGCGCGGCAACGCCCGAGAAAAGAUAUUCGAGUAUAUAGGAAGGAAGCCAAGCUCGGCUGAUUGGCGGAGGAGGUUACCGCACCUCGCGAGGAGGCUUGAGGAAAUCUUGUUCAGAAAAUACCCAAGCAAGAGGGAGUACUACAAUAUGAUGAAGGGACAAAUUGAGCCGCACUUGCAGUUUGCUAUCAAGGAGUUGAGUGCUCAGAACCAACAACGACAACGGAACCAACAAUUGUCAAGACAGAUAGCAUCUUCCCCUGGCUAUGGGACGAUGAUUCUGACACCUGGUAUCACGCAAGGCGCAAGUGAAACUUCUAGAAUGUCUUAUGUGACAGGCAAUAUUGGCCCUUCGUCGUCUGGUGCAGACAUGGUUCCUCUGAACGCCAACAUGGGUACCUUGCUGCCAGGGCAAGCUCCUAAUCAGCAUGUAAACACACUGCUUUCUCUGGGGAUGAACUCUACACACCAUGAUCGCCCAAGAGCAUGCAACAACAACCUUGUGAUAGACACAGUGGACACACCUGCAACCAACAGACUCUUGGAAUCCCAUGCACCUCUGAAGGAGGUCCGAAAGGAACCAAAGUUUAGCUGCCCAGUCUGCAUGAAUGAGCUGGUUGAUGCGUCAUCCACCAUCUGUGGCCAUAUCUUCUGCCAGAAGUGCAUCCAGGCCUCCAUCCAGGCUCAGAGCAAGUGUCCAACCUGCCGUAGGACGCUAACCAUGAACAGUUUCCACCGCGUCUACCUCCCGACGAUGGACUGA